Stylophora pistillata is the source of this 160-nucleotide long non-coding RNA. The record is from RefSeq and is a predicted model, not a curated record. NCBI's taxonomy places the organism in Eukaryota, Metazoa, Cnidaria, Anthozoa, Scleractinia, Pocilloporidae.
UUUUGGAGCAGAACAACAAGCUCGACAUCUGCCCACAUAAGUAGGCGUUACCUUGGUGCUGAAAUUUUGGGUGAACUUGAUAAAGCUUUUUCAUCACUGACUACAAGUACCGCAUCUAGUACAGAUAAAGGCGAGACAAGCUCGACUAGCGAUUUUCAAG